GGAUGACGUGUCAGAGUUUGGGGUUCCUAAUGGAAGUAUCCACUCUGCAUCAUUUCCUCCUCAUAUCUUCCUUGUAGGGUACAUAGUGGCCAUCCUGUAACCAAUUAGACAAGAUAUGCUCAAUUUGUUCAGCAUUUGGGCCGUGGUGCGGCCGGAAGCUUUGGCCUGAGGAUAUACGCAGCAGCUCUCGUUAAACUGAGGAUCUGAGAUAGUUUCUGACUUCACCAUCUGGAAUUCUAGUCUGGGGUUCUGCUAAAAGCUGCUGACCCACGAUUCAACUCUUAAACUCAG
Non-coding RNA from Salmo salar (Atlantic salmon), 291 nucleotides. Lineage: Eukaryota; Metazoa; Chordata; Actinopteri; Salmoniformes; Salmonidae. The record is from Rfam.